RNAcentral lists this ribosomal RNA (210 nucleotides) under Triticum aestivum (bread wheat). RNAcentral describes it as "partial small subunit ribosomal RNA". The record is from RNAcentral. Lineage: Eukaryota; Viridiplantae; Streptophyta; Magnoliopsida; Poales; Poaceae.
AUGAACCGUGGCCGCCUACCUGCUUUGGUUGGUGGGGGCGGCUCCUCCGUUGUGGGUAAACGAGAAACCUGACUCUAGGAACCCGAGGAAAGGUUGCACAGCUUCCGUAGGGGCGUUAAGACUGUGGAGAGGGUAUUCAGAGUGCUUCAAACUCGUUGGGGAAUUAUUCAUGGAGCUGCAAUGAUGUGGGUAUCAAAGACUUUGUGGUAG